Molecule: ribosomal RNA, 372 nt
Filed under: uncultured bacterium
Lineage: Bacteria
Description: bacterial SSU rRNA
Rfam family: Bacterial small subunit ribosomal RNA
Source: RNAcentral
UACGGAGGAUGCAAGCGUUAUCCGGAUUCAUUGGGUUUAAAGGGUGCGCAGGCGGAAUGAUAAGUCAGUGGUGAAAUCUCCCGGCUCAACCGGGAAACUGCCAUUGAUACUGUUGUUCUUGAGUACACUUGGAGUGGGCGGAAUGUGUCAUGUAGCGGUGAAAUGCUUAGAUAUGACACAGAACACCGAUCGCGAAGGCAGCUCACUAAAUUGUAACUGACGCUCAUGCACGAAAGCGUGGGGAUCAAACAGGAUUAGAUACCCUGGUAGUCCACGCUGUAAACGAUGAUCACUCGUUGUUGGCGAUAUACUGUCAGCGACUAAGCGAAAGCAUUAAGUGAUCCACCUGGGGAGUACGAUCGCAAGAUUGAA